GAUGAACGCUGGCGGCGUGCCUAAUACAUGCAAGUCGAGCGAACGGACGAGAAGCUUGCUUCUCUGAUGUUAGCGGCGGACGGGUGAGUAACACGUGGAUAACCUACCUAUAAGACUGGGAUAACUUCGGGAAACCGGAGCUAAUACCGGAUAAUAUUUUGAACCGCAUGGUUCAAAAGUGAAAGACGGUCUUGCUGUCACUUAUAGAUGGAUCCGCGCUGCAUUAGCUAGUUGGUAAGGUAACGGCUUACCAAGGCAACGAUGCAUAGCCGACCUGAGAGGGUGAUCGGCCACACUGGAACUGAGACACGGUCCAGACUCCUACGGGAGGCAGCAGUAGGGAAUCUUCCGCAAUGGGCGAAAGCCUGACGGAGCAACGCCGCGUGAGUGAUGUAGGUCUUCGGAUCGUAAAACUCUGUUAUUAGGGAAGAACAUAUGUGUAAGUGACUGUGCACAUCCUGACGGUACCUAAUCAGAAAGCCACGGCUAACUACGUG
Molecule: ribosomal RNA, 497 nt
Filed under: uncultured bacterium
Lineage: Bacteria
Description: partial 16S ribosomal RNA
Rfam family: Bacterial small subunit ribosomal RNA
Source: RNAcentral